UGGGGAAUAUUGCACAAUGGGCGCAAGCCUGAUGCAGCCAUGCCGCGUGUAUGAAGAAGGCCUUCGGGUUGUAAAGCACUUUCAGCGGGGAGGAAGGCGUUAAGGUUAAUAACCUUGGCGAUUGACGUUACCCGCAGAAGAAGCACCGGCUAACUCCGUGCCAGCAGCCGCGGUAAUACGGAGGGUGCAAGCGUUAAUCGGAAUUACUGGGCGUAAAGCGCACGCAGGCGGUUGAUUGAGUCAGAUGUGAAAUCCCCGGGCUUAACCCGGGAAUUGCAUCUGAUACUGGUCAGCUAGAGUCUUGUAGAGGGGGGUAGAAUUCCAUGGGUAGCGGUGAAAUGCGUAGAGAUGUGGAGGAAUACCGGUGGCGAAGGCGGCCCCCUGGACAAAGACUAACGCUCAGGUGCGAAAGCGUGGGGAGCAAACAGG
RNAcentral lists this ribosomal RNA (429 nucleotides) under Chloroflexota bacterium. Its description in RNAcentral is "Chloroflexi bacterium partial 16S ribosomal RNA". It matches the Rfam family "Bacterial small subunit ribosomal RNA", at positions 355 to 776 of the family's 1533-position model. Lineage: Bacteria; Bacillati; Chloroflexota. The record is from RNAcentral.